UACGUAGGGUGCGAGCGUUAAUCGGAAUUACUGGGCGUAAAGCGUGCGCAGGCGGUUUGCUAAGACCGAUGUGAAAUCCCCGGGCUCAACCUGGGAACUGCAUUGGUGACUGGCAGGCUAGAGUAUGGCAGAGGGGGGUAGAAUUCCACGUGUAGCAGUGAAAUGCGUAGAGAUGUGGAGGAAUACCGAUGGCGAAGGCAGCCCCCUGGGCCAAUACUGACGCUCAUGCACGAAAGCGUGGGGAGCAAACAGGAUUAGAUACCCUGGUAGUCCACGCCCUAAACGAUGUCAACUAGUUGUUGGGGAUUCAUUUCCUUAGUAACGNAGGAAUUGACGGGGACCCGCACAAGCGGUGGAUGAUGUGGAUUAAUUCGAUGCAACGCGAAAAACCUUACCUACCCUUGACAUGGUCGGAAUCCUGCUGAGAGGUGGG
This 433-nucleotide ribosomal RNA is filed under the name Burkholderia pyrrocinia. RNAcentral describes it as "bacterial SSU rRNA". It matches the Rfam family "Bacterial small subunit ribosomal RNA", at positions 524 to 1012 of the family's 1533-position model. The record is from RNAcentral. Lineage: Bacteria; Pseudomonadati; Pseudomonadota; Betaproteobacteria; Burkholderiales; Burkholderiaceae.